Molecule: transfer RNA, 72 nt
Filed under: Sus scrofa (pig)
Lineage: Eukaryota; Metazoa; Chordata; Mammalia; Artiodactyla; Suidae
Rfam family: tRNA
About the family: Transfer RNA (tRNA) molecules are approximately 80 nucleotides in length. Their secondary structure includes four short double-helical elements and three loops (D, anti-codon, and T loops). Further hydrogen bonds mediate the characteristic L-shaped molecular structure. tRNAs have two regions of fundamental functional importance: the anti-codon, which is responsible for specific mRNA codon recognition, and the 3' end, to which the tRNAs corresponding amino acid is attached (by aminoacyl-tRNA synthetases). tRNAs cope with the degeneracy of the genetic code in two manners: having more than one tRNA (with a specific anti-codon) for a particular amino acid; and 'wobble' base-pairing, i.e. permitting non-standard base-pairing at the 3rd anti-codon position.
Source: Rfam by way of RNAcentral
UCCCUGGUGGUCUAGUGGUUAGGACUUGGUGCUUUCACUGCUUCUGCCCAGGUUCAAUCCUUGGCCUGGGAA